CUUGGUCAUUUAGAGGAAGUAAAAGUCGUAACAAGGUUUCCGUAGGUGAACCUGCGGAAGGAUCAUUAUCAAAAGUCAAGUCGGGGGCCGUAAAGCUCUCGUCUACACCCAUGUCUUUUGCGUACUCUUGUUUCCUCGGUGGCGCAAGCUGCCGAUUGGACAAACCAAAACCUUUUUUUGUAAUUGCAAUCAGCGUCUGAAAAUAAUCUAAUUAUUUACAACUUUCAACAACGGAUCUCUUGGUUCUGGCAUCGAUGAAGAACGCAGCGAAAUGCGAUAAGUAGUGUGAAUUGCAGAACUCAGUGAAUCAUCGAAUCUUUGAACGCACAUUGCGCCCCUUGGUAUUCCAUGGGGCAUGCCUGUUCGAGCGUCAUUUGUACCCUCAAGCUUUGCUUGGUGUUGGGCGUCUUGUCGUAUUACGACUCGCCUUAAAUUCAUUGGCAGCCGGCACUUUGGCCUAGGAGCGCAGCACAUUUUGCGAUCGUAGCCCGUUGUACUGGCGUCCAUCAAGAACAUUUACCACGUUUGACCUCGGAUCAGGUAGGGAUACCCGCUGAACUUAAGCAUAUCAAUAAGCGGAGGA
This 583-nucleotide ribosomal RNA is filed under the name uncultured Ascomycota. RNAcentral describes it as "eukaryotic LSU rRNA". The stretch from base 220 to 373 matches the Rfam family "5.8S ribosomal RNA". Lineage: Eukaryota; Fungi; Ascomycota. The record is from RNAcentral.